GACGAACGCUGGCGGCGUGCUUAACACAUGCAAGUCGAACGGGCCUGUCUUCUUUUUUGGGGGUGGGUUGAGUGGCGAACGGGUGAGUAUCACGUGAGUAACCUGCCCUUCGGUCCUGGAUAACCGCUUGAAAGGGCGGCUAAUACGGGGUGGUCCGGUUGGUCCGCAUGGGCUGGUCGGGAUAGAUUCACUGUUUUUGGUGUUUCGGCGGGGGAUGGGCUCGCGGCCUAUCAGCUUGUUGGUGGGGUGAUGGCCUACCAAGGCGGUGACGGGUAGCCGGCCUGAGAGGGUGGGCGGCCAGACUGGGACUGAGAUACGGCCCAGACUCCUGCGGGAGGCAGCAGUGGGGGGUAUUGCACAAUGGGCGGAAGCCUGAUGCAGCGACGUCGCGUGAGGGAGGGAGGCCUUCGGGUUGUGAACCUCUGUUUCCGGUGGUGAAGGCCCUGUCCGUGUGGUGGGGUUGACGGUAGCCGGGGAUGAAGCGCCGGCUAACUACGUG
RNAcentral lists this ribosomal RNA (499 nucleotides) under uncultured bacterium. RNAcentral's name for it is "partial 16S ribosomal RNA". It matches the Rfam family "Bacterial small subunit ribosomal RNA", at positions 28 to 507 of the family's 1533-position model. The record is from RNAcentral.